This 574-nucleotide long non-coding RNA is filed under the name Brachypodium distachyon (stiff brome). Its description in RNAcentral is "long non-coding RNA (BDIS_LNC000213)". The record is from RNAcentral. Lineage: Eukaryota; Viridiplantae; Streptophyta; Magnoliopsida; Poales; Poaceae.
UUUAUUUCAAAAAAAUUUCCUGGUGAAGAUUGGAGAAAUGCAGCUGUAAUUACAGAAAAUGAUGAAGUUAGUAUUUGAACCCCAUCUCUAUUUCUACAAAUAUAAAUUGUUCUGUAUCAGUGUACUUUGACCAUGUUCUCAUUUCAGGAUGCUCUCUAUGAAAGAGAUGCUGCCAGUGACAUCCCACAUGAAUCAGAACAUGAAGUUGAAGAAUCAAAUCGUGAUACUCAUGCUCCACCAAACACUGUGCAGGUGAUGUUUGUAGUAUUUUGAUGCCGUGUUGUUUUUUUAUCUCUCAACACUAGAUGCAUUCUUUUUUAUUAGUUGUUGCCAAUGUUAAAAUCAAUUGUUCAUCGUAAGUUGCAGGGACUGCAUCCUAGCAACUGUACAAAAACCAAAGUGGGUCACACCAAUUUUACUUUACCAGAUGAAUACAUGGUGGAAAAGGUGUGUGGAGUAAUUUGUACUUAUCUACCAAGCCAUUAAAUUUUUGUAUAAGCUUUCUUACAACUAAACUGAAUCAAUUGUAGGAAGCGCAUAAUCAAAAAUGUGACAAGGCAAAUCAGAGUUUUAC